UGUCUUCAGGGCGGGGUGAAAGUCCCCACCGGCGGUAUAGUCCGCGAGCGCUUCGUUUUUUCGAAGGCAGCUGACCCGGCGCAAUUCCGGGACCGACAGUGAUAGUCUGGAUGGGAGAAGACG
This 123-nucleotide non-coding RNA is filed under the name pig gut metagenome. Its description in RNAcentral is "FMN riboswitch (RFN element)". It matches the Rfam family "FMN riboswitch aptamer (RFN element)". From Rfam's summary of the family: The RFN element is a highly conserved domain that is found frequently in the 5'-untranslated regions of prokaryotic mRNAs that encode for flavin mononucleotide (FMN) biosynthesis and transport proteins. This element is a metabolite-dependent riboswitch that directly binds FMN in the absence of proteins. The record is from RNAcentral.